Herpailurus yagouaroundi (jaguarundi) is the source of this 1408-nucleotide long non-coding RNA. RefSeq lists it as uncharacterized. The transcript is spliced from 3 exons. Lineage: Eukaryota; Metazoa; Chordata; Mammalia; Carnivora; Felidae. The record is from RefSeq and is a predicted model, not a curated record.
UAAUACCACCAAAUUUGUCUCCCUCUGGUGCUUUGCACACCUCUACAUGGAACACGCUCCCCCAUCUCUCCAUUGGGACAACUCUUACUCUUCCCUGAUGUUCAUCUUAAAUGUCACUGCCUCAGAAAAGCUUCACCUGUUCUUUCAACCUAAAAUGCAGACAACCAAAGAGGUUUGAGAAAAUCUGCUGAUGCCCACCCAGCAUCCGGUUAAGCAGACAAGGUAUAGUAAACAAACCAACAGGAACAGGAAGAGAGUAGCUAUCUCAGAAUAUAGAUAUAAAUCAAUAUCUUCACAAAGUCACUCUUCCUUUCAAAAGCUUCAAAACAAGAACUUCUUCUCAUCUAUUUUAUUUAUCUCAUUUGUGCCCUACUUAAUAGAUAUUGAUUUGAUAGGCACGUGCCAUUUAAAUAGAAAAUACAAAAUGAAUAUUCUAAUUGUAAUUGAAGAAUGCCAACUUAAUCCAGAAGUUCCCUGUGUAUAAAAGACCUUCCAAAAAUUAUCUGUAUCCCUUCCUUCUCUCUCACUGUCUGGGCAGAACCUGAUUCUGGGGCAGAAGCCAUGCAGCCCAAGAGGACACAUGCCGCUGAAAUGGUUCUCUGGAAUCUACCACUGGCCAGAUGUCUCAGGGUCUUGGCAGAUGUAAUUAAGUGAAGGAUCUUGAAAUGAUAUCCUGCGUGGGCCCUAAAUCCAAUGACUAGUGUCCUUAUAUGAGGAAGGAGGGGGAGAGCAAAGACACAGAGAAGCUGACUGAAGAUUGAGGCAGAGCUUGGAGUUAUGCAGUUAUAAGCCAGAAACACCAAGGAUUGCCAGCAACUACCAAAAGCUAGGAGAGACACAAUGGAAUGGAACCAAUCCUGCUGACAUCUUGAUUUGGACUUCUGGCCUCCUGAACUGUCAGAGAAUAAAUUUCUGUUACUCUAAGUCACCCAGUGUGUGAUACUUCAUUCCAGCAGCCCUAGAAAAAUGAUACACAGGGUAUACUCUCCGGGGCUGAACUAGCCUUUCUGAAGCACAGAACAACAUGGGAGAGGGCAGAGGAAUGAAUAAAAGCUGGUAAAAUAGGAGGUGGGCAACGAAGAAUGGCUGCUAUAGACACUUUCCUGUUUUUCAAACCUUAACCAUUAAUAAAAUCUCCUUUUCUAAAUAAACAAUUUAUUUUAGAUUAGUUUUAGAUUUAGAGAAAAACUGUAAAAUAGUGCUGAGAGUUGCUCAGUAAAAUAGUGCUGAGAAUUUCUCCUAUUAUUAAAAUCUUACAUUAGCAUGAAACAUUUGUUACAUUUAAUGAGCCAAUAUCCAUACGUUAUUCUUAAUGUCUAUACUUUGUUCAAAUUUCCUUAGUUUUUACUUAACAUCUUUUGUCUGUUCUAGUAUGCAUAACAUGCAUAAAACCAAUUGAAAAUUCACC